This is a long non-coding RNA of Rhagoletis zephyria (snowberry fruit fly), 296 nucleotides long. RefSeq lists it as uncharacterized. The record is from RefSeq and is a predicted model, not a curated record. NCBI's taxonomy places the organism in Eukaryota, Metazoa, Arthropoda, Insecta, Diptera, Tephritidae.
UAUCAAAUUGUUAUUUUUUUUGGUACUCACCAAACAGAUUAAAACUUUAUCAGCUCCAAAAAAAUAUGUGCGUCCACUUCGGUAAUAAUUUUCACAUUUCCUGAAUUUUCUUACUUAAAACAAUGACGGAGAGAGAAAUGAAGUAAAGCAAAGAUUCUUUAAACAAGUUAUUGAGCGUUAAAAAUACUCAGUUUUCGAUGCACGCACAAUUUCAUUUUUCACUUAUUGCUUACUAUGACUUUUUGGAUACCGUUAUGUUUAUAUGUAGCCAAAUUUUUUCAAACAAAGUUCUAUUU